AUUGAACGCUGGCGGCGUGCUUAACACAUGCAAGUCGAUCGGUAACAGGUGUAGCAAUACAUGCUGACGAGAGGCGGACGGGUGAGUAAUGCUUGGGAAUCUGCCUAUUAGUGGGGGACAACCCGGGGAAACUCGGGCUAAUACCGCAUACGCUCUACGGAGGAAAGCCGGGGACCGCAAGGCCUGGCGCUAAUAGAUGAGCCCAAGUCGGAUUAGCUAGUUGGUAGGGAACGGCCUACCAAGGCGACAAUCCGUAGCUGGUCUGAGAGGACGACCAGCCACACCGGAACUGAGACACGGUCCGGACUCCUACGGGAGGCAGCAGUGGGGAAUAUUGGACAAUGGGGGCAACCCUGAUCCAGCGACGCCGCGUGGGUGAAGAAGGCC
This 387-nucleotide ribosomal RNA is filed under the name uncultured bacterium. RNAcentral's name for it is "bacterial SSU rRNA". It matches the Rfam family "Bacterial small subunit ribosomal RNA", at positions 29 to 416 of the family's 1533-position model. The record is from RNAcentral.